GACCCCCUACCGCAAUGGUAGCGUGUCUGACUCCACAUCAGAAGGUUGCAUGUUCAAAUCACAUCGGGUUCA
RNAcentral lists this transfer RNA (72 nucleotides) under Anguilla anguilla (European eel). It matches the Rfam family "tRNA". Rfam says of the family: Transfer RNA (tRNA) molecules are approximately 80 nucleotides in length. Their secondary structure includes four short double-helical elements and three loops (D, anti-codon, and T loops). Further hydrogen bonds mediate the characteristic L-shaped molecular structure. tRNAs have two regions of fundamental functional importance: the anti-codon, which is responsible for specific mRNA codon recognition, and the 3' end, to which the tRNAs corresponding amino acid is attached (by aminoacyl-tRNA synthetases). tRNAs cope with the degeneracy of the genetic code in two manners: having more than one tRNA (with a specific anti-codon) for a particular amino acid; and 'wobble' base-pairing, i.e. permitting non-standard base-pairing at the 3rd anti-codon position. The record is from Rfam by way of RNAcentral. Lineage: Eukaryota; Metazoa; Chordata; Actinopteri; Anguilliformes; Anguillidae.